UUUAAAUCAGGGCAAACUGCUCGAAAGAGUGGGACGCAAAGCCAAGGGUCUAAAUUCCUUUAAUAGGAACAUGACAGCCUGGUUGCUUUA
RNAcentral lists this non-coding RNA (90 nucleotides) under Desulfosporosinus sp. Its description in RNAcentral is "c-di-GMP sequence". It matches the Rfam family "c-di-GMP-I riboswitch aptamer". Rfam says of the family: GEMM was predicted in a large-scale screen for bacterial structured RNA regulatory elements. The record is from RNAcentral. Lineage: Bacteria; Bacillati; Bacillota; Clostridia; Eubacteriales; Desulfitobacteriaceae.